RNAcentral lists this ribosomal RNA (708 nucleotides) under uncultured Enterobacteriaceae bacterium. Its description in RNAcentral is "bacterial SSU rRNA". It matches the Rfam family "Bacterial small subunit ribosomal RNA", at positions 794 to 1502 of the family's 1533-position model. Lineage: Bacteria; Pseudomonadati; Pseudomonadota; Gammaproteobacteria; Enterobacterales; Enterobacteriaceae. The record is from RNAcentral.
GUCACGCUGUAAACGAUGUCGAUUUGGAGUUUGGGGGCAUGACCCUUGGGCUCCGGAGCUAACGCGUUAAAUCGACCGCUGGGGAGUACGGCCGCAAGGUUAAAACUCAAAUGAAUUGACGGGGGCCCGCACAAGCGGUGGAGCAUGUGGUUUAAUUCGAUACAACGCGAAGAACCUUACCUGGUCUUGACAUCCAUAGAAUCUUUCAGAGAUGAGAGAGUGCCUUCGGGAGCUAUGAGACAGGUGCUGCAUGGCUGUCGUCAGCUCGUGUUGUGAAAUGUUGGGUUAAGUCCCGCAACGAGCGCAACCCCUAUCCUUUGUUGCCAGCACGUAAUGGUGGGAACUCAAAGGAGACUGCCGUUGAUAAAGCGGAGGAAGGUGGGGACGACGUCAAGUCAUCAUGGCCCCUACGACCAGGGCUACACACGUGCUACAAUGGCGUAUACAAAGGGAUGCGAAGGUGCGAACUGGAGCGGACCUCACAAAGUACGUCCAAGUCCGGAUUGGAGUCUGCAACUCGACUCCAUGAAGUCGGAAUCGCUAGUAAUCGUGAAUCAGAAUGUCACGGUGAAUACGUUCCCGGGCCUUGUACACACCGCCCGUCACACCAUGGGAGUGGGUUGCACCAGAAGUAGAUAGCUUAACCUUCGGGAGGGCGUUUACCACGGUGUGGUUCAUGACUGGGGUGAAGUCGUAACAAGGUAACCA